UACGUAGGUGGCAAGCGUUGUCCGGAUUUACUGGGCGUAAAGAGCGCGCAGGCGGUCGUACAAGUCGCGUGUGAAAGCCCCCGGCUCAACUGGGGAGGGUCACGCGAUACUGUUCGACUCGAAGGCAGGAGAGGGAAGCAGAAUUCCCGGUGUAGUGGUGAAAUGCGUAGAUAUCGGGAGGAAUACCAGUGGCGAAGGCGGCUUCCUGGCCUGUUCUUGACGCUGAGGCGCGAAAGCUAGGGGAGCAAACAGG
This 253-nucleotide ribosomal RNA is filed under the name uncultured bacterium. Its description in RNAcentral is "partial 16S ribosomal RNA". It matches the Rfam family "Bacterial small subunit ribosomal RNA", at positions 524 to 776 of the family's 1533-position model. The record is from RNAcentral.